RNAcentral lists this ribosomal RNA (503 nucleotides) under uncultured bacterium. RNAcentral's name for it is "partial 16S ribosomal RNA". It matches the Rfam family "Bacterial small subunit ribosomal RNA", at positions 28 to 523 of the family's 1533-position model. The record is from RNAcentral.
GAUGAACGCUAGCGGCAGGCUUAAUACGUGCAAGUCGAGGGGCAGCAGUUUUGUAGCAAUACAGAAGCUGGCGACCGGCAAACGGGUGCGGAACACGUAUGCAACCCUCCUUUAACUGGGAGAUAGCCCACCGAAAGGUGGAUUAAUAUCCCAUAAUAUAACUGAAUGGCAUCAUUUAGAUAUUAAAGCUCCGGCGGUUAAAGAUGGGCGUGCGUCUGAUUAGGUAGUUGGCGGGGUAACGGCCCACCAAGCCUUCGAUCAGUAGCUGAUGUGAGAGCAUGAUCAGCCACACGGGCACUGAGACACGGGCCCGACUCCUACGGGAGGCAGCAGUAAGGAAUAUUGGUCAAUGGACGCAAGUCUGAACCAGCCAUGCCGCGUGGAGGAUGAAGGCCCUCUGGGUUGUAAACUUCUUUUCUUUGGGACGAAACCCCUGUUUCUACGGGGACUGACGGUACCAGAGGAAUAAGCACCGGCUAACUCCGUGCCAGCCGCCGCAGUAA